Molecule: ribosomal RNA, 784 nt
Filed under: Bacteroidales bacterium
Lineage: Bacteria; Pseudomonadati; Bacteroidota; Bacteroidia; Bacteroidales
Description: bacterial SSU rRNA
Rfam family: Bacterial small subunit ribosomal RNA
Source: RNAcentral
GGAGCUCUCCCAUAUGGUCGACCUGCAGGCGGCCGCGAAUUCACUAGUGAUUGUUUGAUCCUGGCUCAGGAUGAACGCUAGCGACAGGCCUAACACAUGCAAGUCGAGGGGUAUAAGUAGCUUGCUACUUAGAGACCGGCGCACGGGUGAGUAACGCGUAUGCAACCUACCUUUUACUGGGGGAUAGCCCAAAGAAAUUUGGAUUAAUACCGCAUAACAUAUUUGAAUCGCAUGGUUUAAAUAUUAAAACUUCGGUGGUAAAAGAUGGGCAUGCGUAGCAUUAGUUAGUUGGUGAGGUAACGGCUCACCAAGACUAUGAUGCUUAGGGGGUCUGAGAGGAUAGUCCCCCACACUGGUACUGAGACACGGACCAGACUCCUACGGGAGGCAGCAGUGAGGAAUAUUGGUCAAUGGGCGCAAGCCUGAACCAGCCAUGUCGCGUGCAGGAUGACGGCCCUAUGGGUUGUAAACUGCUUUUUUACAGGAAUAAACUUUGUUACGUGUAGCAAACUGAAGGUACUGUAAGAAUAAGGAUCGGCUAACUCCGUGCCAGCAGCCGCGGUAAUACGGAGGAUCCAAGCGUUAUCCGGAUUUAUUGGGUUUAAAGGGUCCGUAGGCGGGCUUUUAAGUCAGUGGUGAAAUCCCAGAGCUCAACUCUGGAACUGCCAUUGAUACUGAAGGUCUUGAAUUUAGUUGAGGUGGGCGGAAUACGUUAUGUAGCGGUGAAAUGCAUAGAUAUAACGUAGAACACCGAUUGCGAAGGCAGCUCACUAAGCUAACAUUG